Molecule: ribosomal RNA, 498 nt
Filed under: uncultured bacterium
Lineage: Bacteria
Description: partial 16S ribosomal RNA
Rfam family: Bacterial small subunit ribosomal RNA
Source: RNAcentral
AUUGAACGCUGGCGGCAUGCUUUACACAUGCAAGUCGAACGGUAACAGGCCGCAAGGUGCUGACGAGUGGCGAACGGGUGAGUAAUGCAUCGGAACGUACCCAGUCGUGGGGGAUAACGCAGCGAAAGCUGUGCUAAUACCGCAUACGAUCUAUGGAUGAAAGCGGGGGACCGUAAGGCCUCGCGCGAUUGGAGCGGCCGAUGUCAGAUUAGGUAGUUGGUGGGGCAAAGGCUCACCAAGCCAACGAUCUGUAGCUGGUCUGAGAGGACGACCAGCCACACUGGGACUGAGACACGGCCCAGACUCCUACGGGAGGCAGCAGUGGGGAAUUUUGGACAAUGGGCGCAAGCCUGAUCCAGCAAUGCCGCGUGCAGGAAGAAGGCCUUCGGGUUGUAAACUGCUUUUGUACGGAACGAAAAGGUUUGGGUUAAUACCCUGGGCCGAUGACGGUACCGUAAGAAUAAGCUCCGGCUAACUACGUGCCAGCAGCCGCGGUAA